This 433-nucleotide ribosomal RNA is filed under the name uncultured bacterium. RNAcentral describes it as "partial 16S ribosomal RNA". It matches the Rfam family "Bacterial small subunit ribosomal RNA", at positions 29 to 507 of the family's 1533-position model. The record is from RNAcentral.
AGCGAACGCUGGCGGCAUGCCUAACACAUGCAAGUCGAACGAGACCUUCGGGUCUAGUGGCGCACGGGUGCGUAACGCGUGGGAACCUGCCCUUAGGUUCGGAAUAACUCCCCGAAAGGGGUGCUAAUACCGGAUAAUGUCUUCGGACCAAAGAUUUAUCGCCUUUGGAUGGGCCCGCGUUGGAUUAGCUAGUUGGUAGGGUAAAAGCCUACCAAGGCGACGAUCCAUAGCUGGUCUGAGAGGAUGAUCAGCCACACUGGGACUGAGACACGGCCCAGACUCCUACGGGAGGCAGCAGUGGGGAAUAUUGGACAAUGGGCGAAAGCCUGAUCCAGCAACGCCGCGUGAGUGAUGAAGGCCUUAGGGUUGUAAAGCUCUUUUACCCGGGAUGAUAAUGACAGUACCGGGAGAAUAAGCUCCGGCUAACUCCGUG